GCCAGACUCCUACGGGAGGCAGCAGUGAGGAAUAUUGGUCAAUGGGCGGAAGCCUGAACCAGCCAAGUCGCGUGAGGGACUAAGGCCCUGCGGGUCGUAAACCUCUUUUGCCGGGGAGCAGUGGUCCGGACGCGUCCGGACCGGGAGAGUACCCGGAGAAAAAGCAUCGGCUAACUCCGUGCCAGCAGCCGCGGUAAUACGGAGGAUGCGAGCGUUAUCCGGAUUUAUUGGGUUUAAAGGGUGCGUAGGCGGGCUGUUAAGUCAGCGGUAAAAUGUCGGGGCUCAACCCCGGCCUGCCGUUGAAACUGGCGGCCUCGAGUGGGCGAGAAGUAUGCGGAAUGCGUGGUGUAGCGGUGAAAUGCAUAGAUAUCACGCAGAACUCCGAUUGCGAAGGCAGCAUACCGGCGCCCGACUGACGCUGAGGCACGAAAGCGUGGGUAUCGAACAGGAUUAGAUACCCCCGUACGA
RNAcentral lists this ribosomal RNA (468 nucleotides) under uncultured bacterium. RNAcentral describes it as "bacterial SSU rRNA". It matches the Rfam family "Bacterial small subunit ribosomal RNA", at positions 330 to 794 of the family's 1533-position model. The record is from RNAcentral.